GGAGGAAAGUAGGGGAUCGCAAGACCUCGCGCUAUUAGAGUGGCCGAUGUCCGAUUAGCUAGUUGGUGGGGUAAUGGCCCACCAAGGCAACGAUCGGUAGCUGGUCUGAGAGGAUGAUCAGCCACACUGGGACUGAGACACGGCCCAGACUCCUACGGGAGGCAGCAGUGGGGAAUUUUGGACAAUGGGCGCAAGCCUGAUCCAGCCAUGCCGCGUGAGUGAAGAAGGCCUUCGGGUUGUAAAGCUCUUUCGGCCGGAACGAAAUCGUCCGAGCUAAUACCUCGGAUGGAUGACGGUACUGGAAGAAGAAGCACCGGCUAACUACGUGCCAGCAGCCGCGGUAAUACGUAGGGUGCAGGCGUUAAUCGGAAUUACUGGGCGUAAAGCGUGCGCAGGCGGCUUCCUAAGUCAGAUGUGAAAUCCCCGGGCUUAACCUGGGAACUGCGUUUGAAACUACAAAGCUAG
This 465-nucleotide ribosomal RNA is filed under the name Nitrosospira sp. YKU4. Its description in RNAcentral is "bacterial SSU rRNA". It matches the Rfam family "Bacterial small subunit ribosomal RNA", at positions 198 to 644 of the family's 1533-position model. Lineage: Bacteria; Pseudomonadati; Pseudomonadota; Betaproteobacteria; Nitrosomonadales; Nitrosomonadaceae. The record is from RNAcentral.